AUUGAACGCUGGCGGCAUGCCUUACACAUGCAAGUCGAACGGUAACAGGUCUUCGGAUGCUGACGAGUGGCGAACGGGUGAGUAAUACAUCGGAACGUGCCUAGUAGUGGGGGAUAACUACUCGAAAGAGUGGCUAAUACCGCAUGAGAUCUACGGAUGAAAGCAGGGGAUCGCAAGACCUUGUGCUACUAGAGCGGCCGAUGGCAGAUUAGGUAGUUGGUGGGAUAAAAGCUUACCAAGCCGACGAUCUGUAGCCGGUCUGAGAGGACGAUCAGCCACACUGGGACUGAGAAACGGCCCAGACUCCUACGGGAGGCAGCAGUGGGGAAUUUUGGACAAUGGGCGCAGGCCUGAUCCAGCAAUGCCGCGUGCAGGAUGAAGGCCUUCGGGUUGUAAACUGCUUUUGUACGGAACGAAAAGCCCCGGGUUAAUACCCUGGGGUCAUGACGGUACCGUAAGAAUAAGCACCGGCUAACUACGUGCCAGCAGCCGCGGUAA
This 498-nucleotide ribosomal RNA is filed under the name uncultured bacterium. Its description in RNAcentral is "partial 16S ribosomal RNA". It matches the Rfam family "Bacterial small subunit ribosomal RNA", at positions 30 to 523 of the family's 1533-position model. The record is from RNAcentral.